CCGUGUAUAUCCCUUCAUACAAUGCGCAGUGCUUAAUAUAAACGAUCAAUAUAUUUUAUAAUAAAAUCAGUUGCUACAAACAGUCUAUAAAAGCAAUUUUAGAAUGAAUAAAAUGGCGUCGACAUUCAAUUGUCCAUUUGAGUAGCCUAUUUGGCUAAUGUCCAAAUGCCCUUUGCCGAAAGAUCUCAAAUGCGCUAGGAGCCCACGACCUAUACAAGGUACACCGUGGAAAUAACGUAUUGUUAAAAUUUGAAUGCCCUAGCACUAAGCUGAACGUAAAGAUGCGUAAAAUAUUGACAAAGUGCUUAUAUUAAAUAUUGACUUAUUAAGAAAUUAAAAUAACUUUGUAAACCGCACGAUUUUCUGCUAUCGGGAAUUUAAAACAGCUUCUUAAACGGUUUCGUUACCCGCAAACUUUACUUAUGUCAAGCUUUCAUGCACGUGUGGGUUCAGCAGAGUGCUGAGGCAUUCAAAUUCUAACAAUACAUUUAUUUCAAUAGUUUUUUUUUGGGGUUUUUUUUGGGAAUCAACAGGUAAAUCAAUGCAAAGUUUGGACCGUUUCCAGAUAACAACAAUUCAAUGACAUAUUAUCAGAUCAUAUAAAUAUCUGAACCAACCCUUUUAUAAGUGCGGCCAACCGGAAAGCUCCGAGAGAACAUAAGAGCUAUAGAGCAUAUAUGAUCAUACAUUUUUUGCUUGAUUUCCUGACUUGUUGUUCUAAAAAUAUGUUUAGCAUAUUUUUAUAAUUUAAGAGCAAACAGAGAUCAAGUUAAGCAAAUAUUUUGACUAUAUGUGAUUAUCGAGAUAGAUUGUACAGAACACUCAGCUCAGCUCACUCCUUGCGAUCGAAGUGUAAAGUGCGGAAACAUGUAAUAUGAUACCUUUCCAACACCCUCUUAGGCAAUUAAUUUUCUGUGAGUCACGUAGCCAGCUACGCGUAUUGCAUUGUAGGAAUAUUGUAAUUUACAAUAUUCUAUACUGACAAACUAGUAUACUUAUCAGUAGCCUAAAUACUGACUUGCUCCUUAAUUUGACGAUAUAUCAAAACGGCCUCAUCUUUCCAUAUUAACCCGGCCCAGUCCACUGUUUUAACACAAUCGUAAGCUACUAAGUAAGAGUUAAAUACCGAGAAGGAGGGCUUUAUGCUAUAUACAGCCCCGAGAACGCGAAGCGUUCGAGGGCUUUAUAUAGCAUAAAGCCCGACAUUCGAGGUAUUUAACUGACUUAUUUCAUGAUUGAAGAGGUUUUCUAACAAAGUUUUAUUCUUUUUUUUCGAUUUCGACAAGUAUUUUUCUAGUUUUCUCCCUUAUUUCUUGACUAAUUAGAGCUUUAUGGUAUUCAAGGGCUUUAUGCUAUAUACAGCCCGCGGUACAUCAAAGAAAACCGAGUCAAUCAUGAAAUAACCCAUCGUAACUGUUAGCUCGAUACUAAC
Molecule: non-coding RNA, 1432 nt
Organism: Paramuricea clavata
Lineage: Eukaryota; Metazoa; Cnidaria; Anthozoa; Malacalcyonacea; Plexauridae
Source: the annotation of a GenBank genome assembly